GGGUCAGAACUAUAAUGUGGUGCGGUUGCCUCACCCUGAUUUAUAUUAGGUCUGUCACACGAGAGUUCGAAUCUCUCCUGACCCACCA
This 88-nucleotide transfer RNA is filed under the name Vibrio phage 424E50-1. RNAcentral describes it as "tRNA-Und". The record is from RNAcentral. Lineage: Duplodnaviria; Heunggongvirae; Uroviricota; Caudoviricetes.